GUGUGUUCCAGGUAAAUCCGGUUCACUUUAACACUGAGGCGUGACGACGAGGCACUACGGUGCUGAAGCAACAAAUGCCCUGCUUCCAGGAAAAGCCUCUAAGCAUCAGGUAACAUCAAAUCGUACCCCAAACCGACACAGGUGGUCAGGUAGAGAAUACCAAGGCGCUUGAGAGAACUCGGGUGAAGGAACUAGGCAAAAUGGUGCCGUAACUUCGGGAGAAGGCACGCUGACACGUAGGUGAAGUGAUUUACUCAUGGAGCUGAAGUCAGUCGAAGAUACCAGCUGGCUGCAACUGUUUAUUAAAAACACAGCACUGUGCAAACACGAAAGUGGACGUAUACGGUGUGACGCCUGCCCGGUGCCGGAAGGUUAAUUGAUGGGGUCAGCGCAAGCGAAGCUCCUGAUCGAAGCCCCGGUAAACGGCGGCCGUAACUAUAACGGUCCUAAGGUAGCGAAAUUCCUUGUCGGGUAAGUUCCGACCUGCACGAAUGGCGUAAUGAUGGCCAGGCUGUCUCCACCCGAGACUCAGUGAAAUUGAACUCGCUGUGAAGAUGCAGUGUACCCGCGGCAAGACGGAAAGACCCCGUGAACCUUUACUAUAGCUUGACACUGAACAUUGAGCCUUGAUGUGUAGGAUAGGUGGGAGGCUUUGAAGCGUGGACGCCAGUCUGCGUGGAGCCGACCUUGAAAUACCACCCUUUAAUGUUUGAUGUUCUAACGUGGACCCGUAAUCCGGGUUGCGGACAGUGUCUGGUGGGUAGUUUGACUGGGGCGGUCUCCUCCUAAAGAGUAACGGAGGAGCACGAAGGUUGGCUAAUCCUGGUCGGACAUCAGGAGGUUAGUGCAAUGGCAUAAGCCAGCUUGACUGCGAGCGUGACGGCGCGAGCAGGUGCGAAAGCAGGUCAUAGUGAUCCGGUGGUUCUGAAUGGAAGGGCCAUCGCUCAACGGAUAAAAGGUACUCCGGGGAUAACAGGCUGAUACCGCCCAAGAGUUCAUAUCGACGGCGGUGUUUGGCACCUCGAUGUCGGCUCAUCACAUCCUGGGGCUGAAGUAGGUCCCAAGGGUAUGGCUGUUCGCCAUUUAAAGUGGUACGCGAGCUGGGUUUAGAACGUCGUGAGACAGUUCGGUCCCUAUCUGCCGUGGGCGCUGGAGAACUGAGGGGGGCUGCUCCUAGUACGAGAGGACCGGAGUGGACGCAUCACUGGUGUUCGGGUUGUCAUGCC
This 1226-nucleotide ribosomal RNA is filed under the name Salmonella enterica. Its description in RNAcentral is "partial 23S ribosomal RNA". It matches the Rfam family "Bacterial large subunit ribosomal RNA", at positions 1525 to 2730 of the family's 2925-position model. Lineage: Bacteria; Pseudomonadati; Pseudomonadota; Gammaproteobacteria; Enterobacterales; Enterobacteriaceae. The record is from RNAcentral. RNAcentral also lists the same sequence under 1 other name.